AUUUUCCUACGGGGGGCAGCAGUGGGGGAUAUUGGACAAUGGGGGGAACCCUGAUCCAGCGACGCCGCGUGAGUGAAGAAGUAUUUCGGUAUGUAAAGCUCUGUCAGCAGGGAAGAAAGCAAUGACGGUACCUGACCAAGAAGCCCCGGCUAACUACGUGCCAGCAGCCGCGGUAAUACGUAGGGAGCAAGCGUUAUCCGGAUUUACUGGGUGUAAAGGGAGCGUAGACGGCGUGCCAAGUCUGAUGUGAAAGGCCGGGGCUCAACCCCGGGACUGCAUUGGAAACUGGCAUGCUGGAGUGCCGG
RNAcentral lists this ribosomal RNA (305 nucleotides) under uncultured bacterium. RNAcentral's name for it is "bacterial SSU rRNA". It matches the Rfam family "Bacterial small subunit ribosomal RNA", at positions 333 to 652 of the family's 1533-position model. The record is from RNAcentral.